GGCCCAGUGGUCCAAUGGUAAAGGCGCUCGCCCUGGAGCCAGAGGGUCUUGGGUUCGAUCCCGGGUUGGGUCG
This 73-nucleotide transfer RNA is filed under the name Schistosoma japonicum. Its description in RNAcentral is "tRNA-OTHER". Lineage: Eukaryota; Metazoa; Platyhelminthes; Trematoda; Strigeidida; Schistosomatidae. The record is from RNAcentral.